Molecule: long non-coding RNA, 5769 nt
Organism: Cavia porcellus (domestic guinea pig)
Lineage: Eukaryota; Metazoa; Chordata; Mammalia; Rodentia; Caviidae
Exons: 3
Source: RefSeq, a predicted model, not a curated record
GCCGGGCCGCGGGAUCAGCAAGUGCCUGGUGCGGGGCUGGCCAGAGCGACGUACGGGCACCAGGGGGUGAACAGCCCGGGAGCGCCCAGAACCGGGACGGGUCUGUGUGUCUAUGGGUCGCUGCACCGUGAGUGAGACAUCCUGAGCUCCCGGCCGUGCAAACCAGGGUUUGCCGCUAACCACACAGCAGCAGCAGGGACCUGGUUAAGGACAUGGGAGCAGAUUGUGUCUUUUAUGGAUCUGCAUUGUCCUCGGAAUCCAUUUCUAACAAGCCUUGCUGCCUCUGCCCUGAGCUGGAAGGACUCUGCAAGUGUGACCAGAGUGACCUGAGUCCAGGGACAUGCUCACCUGCUCCGCUGUGUGUUUCAGCAGGACCAGCUUGGCAAGAAGGUGUGCAGGGCCAGGGCUGGCCAAGAGCUGGCUGUGCUGAUGGGAAGAGAGGGCAGGAGCCACGUAGGUGGAGGAAGCUAUGAGGAAGAAGCCGGGGUAGGGUGUGGUCGGAAACCAGGCAGCACGGCUGCUUCCCCCACUUCGGUCCUCCCACAAACCAGUGUGGUAGAGCAAGCCUAUAAUCCCAGCAUGUGGGAGGCUGAGGCAGGAGGACUGCUGUGAGUUUGAGGCAAGCCUGGAAUACAUAGUGAGUCCAAGACAACAGGCAAGCCUGAACUGCAUGACAACACCCUAUCUCAGAAAACCAAAAUAAAUAAAUAAAAUAAGACAAAACAACCUUAUACACUAAGCCAGGUGUGGUAGCAUAUUCCAGGAGGCUAAGACAGGAGAAGCAUUCGUUUGAGCCUGGGGAACUUAGUGAAAGCCUGUCUCAAAACAAGAAAAAAAAGACUGGGAAUAUAGCUCAGUGUGAAGGCCCUGGGUUCAGUCUUCAGUACUGGAAAAUAAAUAAGUAAACAAAAUAUUAGACACCAUAAUGUGUUUUACUUUUUUGUCUUUUUGAGACAGGGUUUCUCUAUGUAGUUUAGGCUGGCUUUGAACUCACUGUGUAGUCCAGGCUGGCCUUGAAUUUGCAGUAAUCCUCCUGUCUCAGCCUCCUGAGUGCUAGGAUUACCAGCCUGUAUGAUUACAUGCCUAGCACACUAGACUCUCUCAAAAUAAAAACAGGUCUAGAGAAGUAGGUAGGCAUAAAGACUCUGAGUUCAAUCCCCACUAUAAAAAGACAAAACAAAACAGAAACACUAACAAGAUGCGGGGUUGGUAUUAUACAUCUUUCAGGGCAGGAAGAUUCCAAGUUUAACCCACCCUGGGUAGCUUAGUACUGAGACCCUAUCUCCAGUUAACAAAUACAGAGAGGGAGAGGGUCCUGAGCAUGUCGCUUAGUGGUAGAAUGCUCUGAGGUUUCAUCCCCAGUGCUAUGUGCUCGUCUGUACAUGCACGCGUGCACACACAACUGCACGCAGUAACAUGGUAACUUUAAAAUUCAGCUGCCUAGCUGGUGGCUCACCUCUGUAAUCCCAGCACUCGGAAGGCUAAGGUAGGAAGAUUGUUUCAAGACCAGCCUAGACUACAAAGUCAGCUUAAGGCCAGCCGGAGCUGCAUAGUGAGACCCUGUCUCAAAACGACAAACAAAACAAAACAGCUGCCUGAGCCAGGGAUGUAGCUCAGGGGCGUAAAUGCCUGCCUGGCAAGUGCAAGGUUCUGAGUUUGAUUCCCAGUACGGGGAGGGGGUGGGGUGGGGACACCCAGCUGCUCCUAACUCAAAUGGCUGGAGGCCCUGCUGAGUCCGCCUGAAGCCCUGAGGUGGGCCAGCUGAGCUGUUCUUUCUCCUGGAGCCACUUACCACGAAGGCUGGAGUGCGCUGGGCCCUGGGCCCUGGGAGAAAGCUCUGAGGGGCAGCAAGGCAGGUCCUGUCGCACAUGGUCGAGCUGUAGCCUCUGCUGGGCCAGACUCAGGUGUUCCUACACCCAACCCAAGACAGGACUCAGCAGCUGGCAGUGGGCACAGGGGCUGGGGUGGUGGGGGUGGGGUACCUGGUGCACAUGCUCUUCCUGCUGCCGAAGCCGCUCCUGCUGCCUCUGCAGGACCUGCAGCCUGGCCUGCUGCUCGGACUGCAUCUGUCGGGCCUUGUGCAGUGCAAGCUCGCCUUCCUUGUACUUCUUGGAGGCCACCUGCAAGGAGCCUGCUGGAUUAGGAAUAGGUGGGGUCACUUGGUGGCCCAAGCCCUGGACCUGUCCAGCCGUACCUCGCUCAAGUGCUCCACUUCCUCAGCUCGCAGCUGCAGGCUCAGGGCUGUGGCCUUAACAUUCUCCUUCUCCAGCUGCAGCUCUUGCCGCUCCCGCUCCACCGCUUCCCUCUCAGUUGCCAACUGCUUCUCCUUGACCCGGAGUUCGCUGGCCCUGACCUUCAGUUCUGCCCGCUCCUAGGGAAGGCACAACCUUUGUCUCGCCUCCUGGGGGCUGUCCCAGACUCGGUGCAAAACCUAUAAGGUCGCCCUGCCUGUCCUGCCUCUCGGAGGGGCAGUGGCUUCCAGAAUGGGUCCCAGGCCUGGGGCCAGGUCAGGUGAUCCUCACAGCAGUGUAACCACUGCAGGCCUAUUUCUGAACUGCAGUUUCUUUCUUUCUUUCUUUUUUUUUUGUGGUACUAGGGAUUGAACCAGGGCCCCAAGCAUGCUAGGCAAGUGCUCUACCACUGAGCUACUCUCUAGCCCCACCAUGUCUCUAAAAUGCCUGUCAUGCCAGGCAUGGUGGCACACGCCUGAAAUCCCAGCACUGGGGAGACUGAGACAGAAAGAUCACCAUGGCCAUCAGUUCAAAUCCACUGCUGGCUUCAUAGUGAGUGCAGGGCCAGCCAGAACUAUGUAGUGAGACCCGGUCUCAAAACAAAACAAAACAACCAAACCAAACCAAAAAUGUCUGUUAUGAGAACCAAUGUAGACUGAGGGAAAUGUGCAAGAACUGCCUUAAACAAUGCAAAGAAGUUAUUGCAAUGAGGGAACCACUGUUUUAAUUCUUUUUGGAUCCUAAAGAUUGACCCCAGGACCUAAGCGAGCUAGGUAAGCACUCCAGCACGCAGCUUGAAACAUGGUCUCAUUAAACAGCCCAGCUGGUCAUUGACUUUGCGAUCCUUCUCCUUCAAUUUCGUGAGGAGCUGGGAUUACAGGCUGUGCCACCAAGCCCAGCUGGUUCCUGUAUUCUUAUUGCAGUGACCUUACAGUGGUACUUCAGUUCACAAACUUGAUUUUCUCCACAGUUCUGUUGGCAAACCAAGUGGGAUGGGUACUGACAGACUCUGUGGUUAGGUUCAAUGUGACCUCAUGAAAGAAUCUGAUUCAGUUCUCCUCCACUUUGGUUUGCAACCAGAAUCAUGGAGAGGAUUGAGUGCGAAUCGAGGUACCACUGAAAUUUCUAGGCCUGGAAGCUGAUGCUCCCAGAAAAACUGGGGCUGUCCUGGAGGCACUGGGUCCUACCUUGGCCAGGCUGAUGAUGGUGCCCUCCCGCUGGGUGUCCACCUGCAGUGCUCGUUCCAUCUCACGCUCUGCUCGCUCUUUACUCAGCUUCUGCUGCGUGGAGAACUCUGCCCACUCCACGGCUAGGCGCCGCUGCUCCUCCCCACACUUAUGCAUGACUGACUUCUGCUCCUCCAGCAAGGCACUCUGGAUUCGAGGGCAGGUGCAUGGUGUGAGUGUCCCUGUGCAUUGUGCUGGGGUCAGCAAUGGAUGUGGUGCUGGACUCACCUUGACCCUUUCCAGCUCCUCCCUCUCCAUGGUGAUCUGCUGGACCAUCACCUUCCUCUGCUCCUCCAGGGCACGCUGCAUGGACUCUGCCUUGGACCGCUCCGCGUUCACUCGCCAGCGUUCCUGCAGGGUACACGGCAGGGCUCAGGGCCAGCUCCUGAUGCUGGAGCUGGCAUGGCUGGUCCUCAAGGAGCUGUGCAAACCUAUCUACAACUCCUGAGCGAAGUUGGAGGUACCUGAGAGACCUGGCCUGGGCUCAGGGGUCUCCAGCUACAUCAUGGCUAGUGCAAAGGACAGUCACAUCCCUUCCUAAAUCACCAACUCUGGGGCUCUGCUGCCUGUCACACAUCAGCCAAGCAGAGGAGCACAGGAGAACUCAUCACUGUGCUUGGGGCUCAGGGUACAUGCAGACAGAAAGUAGGACGCCGACUGCCUGGCCUGAAGAGGUGCUCGACAGCUCCAGUCAGAGUAUGCAGAUGUGGUCAUGAUAGAAAAGCAUCUGUAUCUAGGUUGGAAUGGCCAUGGGAUAUCACUGUCCAUGAAUAUCUCUGCCUAGUGGUAAUUUUAAUUUUCUUUAUUGUUUCAUAUAUAUAUACUUUUUUUUUUUUUUUUUUGAGACAGGGUCUCACCAUGUGGUUCACACUGGCCUUGAGCUCACUUUGUAGCCCAGGCUGGUCUCCAACUCGCAAUGAUCCUCCUGCCUCAGCCUCCUGAGUGCUGGGAUUACAGGUGUACACCACCAUGCCUGGCCUAUUUUAAUUUUUUUUAAUGUAACAUUAUUAUAACAGUGCGAAGGGUACUCUUCUUAAAAUAAGGCUUGGCUGGGGAUGUAGGUCAGCAGCACAAAUGCCUGCCUGGUAAGUGCAAGGCCAAAAUAUAUGUAAUAAGGUUCUUAUGCAUGAAAGAUGAAUGAUAUGUAAGAAGUUAAACACGUGUCGUGUGUCAUAGUUAUGGAGGUAAAGUGACAUUUAGUGGAGUGUCUGUCCCCAUGUCACAGAUCGAAGGGGGAAAGGGAGGUGCAGCUGACGGUGGGAAGACUAUGGAGAGUGGCCACGUGGCUGGGGACCGAGGAGCAGGUGGUAGACAGCCCGCCUGGGCAGUGCUAAGGCCAGGCAAGAGUGGGACGGAGCAGCAGGGCACUGACCGUAAGGAGAGGCAGCACACCUGCUCUAGGAGCCGGCUCUGCUCACUCAGGUGUGCCUCCAUCUUCCCGAUGACCUCCUGCAGACGGCCACGCUCUUCCUCCAUGUCCCGCUGCUGCUGGCCCAGCCGCUCCUGUAGCACUGGGGAAGGCGCAUAGACAUUUUGCCCUCCUUUCCACCGAGGGGGCCUGGCUAUGGGAGAUGGGAGAUAGGGUGUACCUCGCAGCUGCUUGUCCUGCUGCCGGACGCCCAGCUCCCGCUCCUGCGCCAUAGUGAGAUGCGAGGCUUCCACGCGGGAGGCCAGCACGUUCAGGCUGCUGGAGAACUUCUCCAUCUGCUCGAUGAUGCCAUUCAGGGACCUGCAAGAGGAUGGAACACCUCGUCCUGGGGACGUCCAGACCUGGGCUUGGGUGGCAGGGUUGUCGGCACACAAACCGUGUGUGGGAGGUGGCACUGGUGACGGCAUCAAUCUCUUGGUCCUUCAGCAGCUUCAGCCGCUGCAGCUGCUCAUCAUGGUCUUUGCGCAUCUCCAGGAUGGACGCCCUGUGGGAAGCAGUGGAAGAGACCCAGGGCCCUUCUGAGCAAGGCCAUAUAAAGACCAUGGCAUCCCUUCACAGAAGGCACAGCUCUCCAAGGGGCUCCUCUGCUUCCUCUUCCACCUCUCCAGGCACUGUCUUACCUUUCUCAGUUUCAGUGCCACACACAGCAAAGAGUCCUCUUACUCAGUAAAGGGCACUUUUCACAGAAAACAGAAAGUUGUGUGUGCUGGGCAUGGUGCUGCACCCCCAUAAUCCCAGCACUUGGGAGGCUGAUGCAGGAGGACUGCUAUUCGUUUGAGGCUAGCCUGAGCUACAUAAGUGAGUUUAAGGCCAUCCUGAACUAUAUAAUGAGACCCUGUCUCAAAAAACAAAAAUAAAGAAGCUCUCCAAAAAACAAAAGAAA